GAAAAUGGCUGGAGAAAGGUCAAAUUUUCCCGCAACCUCACAAUCCUUCUCAGAGUUAGUGCAGCGCAGUUAGCGGCACGCCAAAUUUACAAGCCAGGAGAGUUUGACAUCAGUGGGAGUCGUCUCAUAAAGGAGCGUACAACGUGACUCCAGAAGAGAGACGUGAAUUCC
This 171-nucleotide long non-coding RNA is filed under the name Anser brachyrhynchus (Pink-footed goose). RNAcentral's name for it is "lncRNA (ENSABRG00000018245.1)". The record is from RNAcentral. Lineage: Eukaryota; Metazoa; Chordata; Aves; Anseriformes; Anatidae.